This 467-nucleotide ribosomal RNA is filed under the name uncultured bacterium. RNAcentral describes it as "partial 16S ribosomal RNA". It matches the Rfam family "Bacterial small subunit ribosomal RNA", at positions 29 to 507 of the family's 1533-position model. The record is from RNAcentral.
ACGAACGCUGGCGGCGUGCUUAACACAUGCAAGUCGAACGGAAAGGCCCUGCUUUUGUGGGGUGCUCGAGUGGCGAACGGGUGAGUAACACGUGAGUAACCUGCCCUUGACUUUGGGAUAACUUCAGGAAACUGGGGCUAAUACCGGAUAGGAGCUCCCGCUGCAUGGUGGGGGUUGGAAAGUUUCGGCGGUUGGGGAUGGACUCGCGGCCUAUCAGCUUGUUGGUGGGGUAGUGGCUUACCAAGGCUUUGACGGGUAGCCGGCCUGAGAGGGUGACCGGCCACAUUGGGACUGAGAUACGGCCCAGACUCCUACGGGAGGCAGCAGUGGGGAAUAUUGCACAAUGGGCGGAAGCCUGAUGCAGCAACGCCGCGUGCGGGAUGACGGCCUUCGGGUUGUAAACCGCUUUCGCCUGUGACGAAGCGUGAGUGACGGUAAUGGGUAAAGAAGCACCGGCUAACUACGUG